This 3199-nucleotide long non-coding RNA is filed under the name Homo sapiens (human). RNAcentral's name for it is "CSRP3 and E2F8 antisense RNA 1, transcript variant 2 (CSRP3-AS1)". The record is from RNAcentral. Lineage: Eukaryota; Metazoa; Chordata; Mammalia; Primates; Hominidae.
GCGCGGGAGCUCAGCUCCUCCCUCACGGCCCCCGGCGAAGCGGGAGGCGGGAAACGGCCGCCGCCGCCGCCGCCGCCACCCUCCCGAGCCCUCUCCCGGUGCCGUGUCGCCCGGGCGCCGCGCCCCUCUGCGUCCCGCUGACCUGUCAGUCCACCUCACGGCGGGAGCCGGCGGGGGCUGAGCCGGGACUCGUCAGCACCGCUGCCCCUCUCAGGCCCGGGAGCCCGCGUACCUGGCAGUCAGUCUUUCCGCAGCGCCGAGGAGAAAUGGCUUGAGAAAGACAUGUUGAAGAGGAAAAAUACGUUAAGCACAGAGAUUUCUUAAUUGCUUGAAGUACAGGCCCAGGCAUAGAAUUGGAUUUGGUUACCACUUGCCAACUGUCUUAGAAUCUGAAGACUCCAGCUCUAGUUCCCGACUCUGACACCUACUAGCUCUGCAACUUUACGGAAACCACUUACCUCUCUGAGCCUCAGUUUCCUCCUCUGUGAAAUGGGCUGGUAAUAUCUAUGGCAUAAACACUUCAUUGAUGGUAUGGGACCAGCUGAGGCUACAAGUGUAAAAAUAUUGUUUGAAAAUGUUAAUUGCUAUUUGAUUAUAAGGACAUAGUCUUAUUAAUAUGAUCAAAUCUCUUGCUAGCUUAUUGGUUUUCAUAGUAGGAGAUGUCACUUGCUGUGCGAUCUUGGACAAGUCACUGAACUCCUCUGAGCUGCACUCGUCUCCCCUGUAACAUGGGGAGUGUAGACUUGAUUACUUAAAUCUCCCGACAUCGUACAAGUCUAUGCUGAUGCCGAGCUUUCCUUGAAAACUGGAAAAAGCACAGGCUUUGAAGUGUGAUGGACUGGGGUUAAUCCCCUGCUUCACAGCUUGCUUUCUUUUUGUCUCUCUGUACCCAUAAGGAUUAUCUCAGAAUGAUCUGGGUAUUUUUGAAAAGUAACAGCAGCUUGGCUGAAAGACAAUUUUGUCCAUAAUAAGACAUCAGCUGUGAGCAGAGUUCUGCAGUGGCAGAAAACGGAUCAGGCAGAGAUUCAGGUUAUAAUUUCCAAACUCCAGUGGCCCACUUGGUAGAACCAGUUUGCAUUUGUAUGUUGAAUUUUUGUUGACUAAAUAACAGUGAUCCAAGAGCUGAGAUGGUUUAUUGGUCCUCUUGGGGAGGGCUGUAUUGCUGUCAAGGUGUGGAUAAAGCAUUUCAGGCAGGCCUGCCGCUGGCCCCUGGCCCAGUGGUGUACAGCUGUGUCAAUAGGCCUUUGAAGUCCACGCACACCAGCUGACUGGUCAGCAGCCCCUGGGAUGGUCUCUACAACCUUCGUCACAGGAAAUUGGGAAAGGCAUGUGGAAGCUAGCAUUGCUGGAAGGGGAGGAGAAGAAAACUGUUGGGAUCUUUGAUGAAAACAUGGGAGAAAUUUACCAAAAUUCACAGGCUGAGCCCAUCAGCAGGAUCUGGGAUUGUUGAUCACUGCUCUCCUUCUUUCUGGCUCCAGAUCAAUGUGAUGAGCUGGUUUAUCUUUAUUCUGACUCGAAUAUGUGCCAGCUAGCGCUUCUGUGAGGCCUCAGUAUAGUGAUAGUAUGCUGGAGGCGCUGGUGGUGCUGCAAGAUUCACAGAGAGCUUCUGAAUCAUUAAAACGUGAACAACCCCUGUUCAGAAGAAUUUUAAUGCAAAAUAUUUUUCAUUUUUAUUUUUUCGUCUUUUCUGAUAUUCUACAUUCUGGGGCACUGGCCUCUUCCCUGCCCCAGGAUUUUCCCCAUGUGCAGGUGCUUCAUCAUCACAUGAUCUCAUUUAAUCUUCACAACAUCCCUGAGGUAUGUUGUCUUCAAUCCCCCUUUGGCAAAAGAGGAAAUGGAAGCUCUGGUUAAAACUUGGUGAAGAUAACACAGCUUAGCAGGAAACCCUGAGCUGUCUGACUCUCAAGCCUGUGUUGGGAAAUCCUGCCCUGUGCUGCCUCUUGUUGCAGAGAUCCUAUCUGGAUAAAGUGCUGGGUAACCAGGAAUCAGAACCUCUGGAGGACGAGUAUGACUUCUUUUCUGUCCCUGCUGCUCGAGUUCAAACCCUCACCAUCCUCUCCUCCUCUUCCCUGUUCUUGCUCUGUACCUCCACUCCGUCACUGAGUCUUGACACUUUGGCCCAGUGUCCCCCCUUGCACCCCUGCCUUUUCAUUCUUACCCUUGUUGCCACACACCUGGGGCACUGCCGUAGCUGGCAGCUCCCUUUCUCACCAGUCUUUCCCUUUUCCAUCUUUUCCACUAACCCUGCCAGACUCAUCUUCCUUUAACACUGCUUUGUCCUAUUUCAUUAAAAAUAUCCCAGGGACUCAUGAGAUAAAGUCAAGACUCAGUGCUUGACCUGACACAGCCCCCAGUCCCCCCAGGUAGACCUCAAAGCUUCUACAUUCGUUCUUUUUCACGCUGCUGAUAAAGACAGACUUGAGACUGGGCAAUUUACGAAAGAAAGAGGUUUGUUGGACUUAUGGUUCCAUAUGGCUGGGGAGACCUCACAAUCACAGUGGAAGGCAAGGAGGAGCAAGUCAUGUCUUACAUGGAUGGCAGCAGGCAAAACAGUUUGUGCAGAGAAACUCCCAUUUUUAAAACCAUCAGAUCUUGUGAGACCCAUUCACUAUCAUGAGAACAGCAUGGGAAAGACCCAUCCCCAUGAUUCAAUCACCUCCCACCAGUUCCUCCCAUGACAUAUGGGAAUUAUAGGAAUUGUGGGAGUUACAAUUCAAGAUGAGAUUUGGGUGGGGACACAGUCAAAACAUAUCAACUCCUUUCCAGCCUUGCCCAUCACUUCCUGCAAUAACUUGAUGUUGCCUGGGAUUUUCUGACUUCAGCAUCUUUGCUCAUGAGGUAUCUUCUACCUAGAAUGUGACCUUCCCACCCAACCUCCCCUCUGCUAAAAAUCUCAUCAUGGUCUGCCUGAAGUGGCCUGUCUUUAAUGAAGCUUUCUCCAGUCACCUUGCAGGAAUGAUCCCCCCACCUUGAACACUUUGAAACACUUAAACAGUACUUCUCAUAUGUUGCUUCACUGUAAUUAUUUGAGUGCCAACAUUUCCUCCCUAUAUACCAAUGUGAUGAUGGAACCCAUGUGUGUGUAUCCCCCACUGUGGUCAUUAGCAUAGUGCCUUAUAUGUAGUGGUCCCUUUGUUGCAUGUAAACUAAUGAACAGUGAAAAGCAAAUAAUAAGAAAUAAAUCAUUUAUUGUUUCCCA